UACGUAGGGUGCGAGCGUUAAUCGGAAUUACUGGGCGUAAAGCGUGCGCAGGCGGUUUUGUAAGCCAGUCGUGAAAUCCCCGGGCUUAACCUGGGAAUGGCGAUUGGGACUGCAAGGCUGGAGUAUGGCAGGGGAGACUGGAACUCCUGGUGUAGCAGUGAAAUGCGUAGAUAUCAGGAGGAAUACCGAUGGCGUAGGCAGGUCUCUGGGCUGAUACUGACGCUCAUGCACGAAAGCGUGGGGAGCAAACAGG
This 253-nucleotide ribosomal RNA is filed under the name uncultured bacterium. RNAcentral's name for it is "partial 16S ribosomal RNA". It matches the Rfam family "Bacterial small subunit ribosomal RNA", at positions 524 to 776 of the family's 1533-position model. The record is from RNAcentral.